AUGCCGCCUCUUUGAUGAAUCAAAGAGGAUGCUGUUGUCUUGAUCAAGAAGUUUGGUGCUGGUGUCUUCGACGAUUCCAAACGUGUUGUAAAUUCAGGGUGAUCUUAAGAUGAACUUUUAUCGAUGUACUGAAGUGUGUCCUGAAGUCUCUUUCACUGGCCAUCCAUAUGGCGGCUUCAGUUUUCUUCCUUUUAAUGAAGUCACUAAAAAGAAUGCAGAUGACAAAGAUAUUUUGAAUGUUGAUGUCAUUGGGAGUGUAUUUUGGGGUGGAAAUCUGGACAUCUUCGGCUCAUCUAAAGGAGGGAAACAAACCAAGAGAUUCAACUUUGAGAUCAAAGAUUUGGAGGGUAGGGUGUUAAAAUGCACACUUUGGAAUGACUACGCUGUGCAAUUCAACAACUUUGUGAAAACAACACUUCUCCCGAGCAUGUUAUCACCAUCAUCCAACGUGGUCUAAUUAGGGAAUGGGAUAGUCACUCAAGAACCACAAAGUGCUGAAGUAUAACUGUCAAACUUGCUGAAUCCUCACAAGGUGGUUAGAGUUCAAAGGAUGCAUUCUCUGUUACCGGCUAUUCUGUUGCAGCCGAACUUGAGAAGGACACAGACACGAGUCCUCUACAGAAAAGGGCGAGCGUAACUCCAGGUGCUGAAUCUACUUCCAGAGUUUCAAAGAGGGUCCAAAAUGGUUAUCCCAACUGACGUUUAGUCCGUAUUUUGAAUUAUGUUGCUCUAAGCUGUCAUGAAACUAUUUUCAUUCUGAACUUUACAUGCUUUGCAUACCAACUCUGGUCUUUUGGUUGUAUUUUGGUUUAAAGUUUAUCCAUAUGUCAAAGCAUGUAGUAUGAACAAUGGUAUGGGGUAUCCCCAUUUCAAGUUGGUUUUUAUUUUAAA
This is a long non-coding RNA of Erigeron canadensis, 891 nucleotides long. RefSeq lists it as uncharacterized. The transcript has 5 exons. NCBI's taxonomy places the organism in Eukaryota, Viridiplantae, Streptophyta, Magnoliopsida, Asterales, Asteraceae. The record is from RefSeq and is a predicted model, not a curated record.